RNAcentral lists this ribosomal RNA (492 nucleotides) under uncultured bacterium. Its description in RNAcentral is "bacterial SSU rRNA". It matches the Rfam family "Bacterial small subunit ribosomal RNA", at positions 30 to 518 of the family's 1533-position model. The record is from RNAcentral.
UGAACGCUGGCGGCGUGCUUAAUACAUGCAAGUCGAACGAAGCACUUAUGACAGAUCCCCUCGGGGUGAAGACGUUGUGACUGAGUGGCGGACGGGUGAGUAACGCGUGGGUAACCUGCCUUAUGCAGGGGGACAACAGUUGGAAACGACUGCUAAUACCGCAUAAGCGCACGGCACCGCAUGGUGCAGUGUGAAAAGAUUUAUCGGCAUAAGAUGGACCCGCAUCUGAUUAGGUAGUUGGUGAGGUAACGGCCCACCAAGCCGACGAUCAGUAGCCGACUUGAGAGAGUGAUCGGCCACAUUGGGACUGAGACACGGCCCAGACUCCUACGGGAGGCAGCAGUAGGGAAUAUUGCACAAUGGGGGGAAACCCUGAUGCAGCGAACCGCCGCGUGAGUGAUGAAGUAUUUCGGUACGUAAAGCUCUAUCAGCAGGGAAGAUAAUGACGGUACCUGACUAAGAAGCCCCGGCUAACUACGUGCCAGCAGCUGC